GACCUCGGAUCAGGUAGGGAUACCCGCUGAACUUAAGCAUAUCAAUAACCGGAGAAA
RNAcentral lists this ribosomal RNA (57 nucleotides) under Alternaria sp. 147. RNAcentral describes it as "partial 28S ribosomal RNA". Lineage: Eukaryota; Fungi; Ascomycota; Dothideomycetes; Pleosporales; Pleosporaceae. The record is from RNAcentral.